Molecule: long non-coding RNA, 1900 nt
Organism: Sinocyclocheilus grahami
Lineage: Eukaryota; Metazoa; Chordata; Actinopteri; Cypriniformes; Cyprinidae
Source: Ensembl
UUAGGGAUAGUGUACAUUUUCAUAAUAUGCAUUGCUAAGAACUUCAUUUGGACAGCUUUAAAGAUGAUUUUCUCAAUAUUUAGAUUUUUUUGCACUCUCAGAUUCCAGAUUUUCAAAUAGUUGUAUCUCGGCCAAAUAUUGUCCUAUCCUAACAAACCAUACAUCAAUGGAAAGCUUAUUUAUUCAGCUUCCAGAGUGGACCCUUGUGGCUGGUUUUGUGGUCCAGGGUCACAUAUAGAUUGGUUCUCCUCUGUCCUGCAGAUGAUGGCCGCUCGUCCUGCGUGGCGCUGGCGUUUGGGCAGCAGCAGGCGGCGGGUUUCAGAUUCCAGAUUUUCAAAUAGUUGUAUCUCGGCCAAAUAUUGUCCUAUCCUAACAAACCAUACAUCAAUGAAAAGCUUAUUUAUUCAGCUUCCAGAGUGGACCCUUGUGGCUGGUUUUGUGGUCCAGGGUCACAUAUAGAUUGGUUCUCCUCUGUCCUGCAGAUGAUGGCCGCUCGUCCUGCGUGGCGCUGGCGUUUGGGCAGCAGCAGGCGGCGGGUUUGGCGCGGGCCGCGACACUGGAGCAGCUCCGAGAGAAGCUGGAGACGGAGGCACCGGAGAGGAAGAUGGCGCGUCUGGCCGAGGAGCAGCAGAGACUCAUGCAGCAGGUCUUCCAGCACAACCUGCUCGCCAUGGCCUCGCAGAUCCCAGUCAACCUGCGGCCCAGAACUUCGGCCCGGGGUCAGUGCGCCCGAUGUUUGUGUGUGUGUGUGUGUGUGUGUGUGUGUGUGUGUGUGUGAGUGUAUGUGUGUGUGUGUGUGUGAGAGAGAAUAUGUGUGUGUGAGUGAGUGAGUGUGUGUGUCUGUGUGUCUGUGUGUGUGUUAAUGAGUGUUUGUGUCUGUAGAUGAGAAGCAGGAUCUGGCCGUGAGCAUUUCCUCCAGUGGAGCGGCGAGUAUCAGCGUGUCAGUGGAAGUCAAUGGCAUCGUUUACUCAGGAACUCUGUUUGCGCAGAAGUCUGCGUCUGCUGCACCUGGACCCAGCUUCACCUUCUCUAGCCCCGCCCCCAGCCAAAGCCCCGCCUCUUCCUCCUCCUCCAAGGGGCGGAGCUCCGCGCAGCCAUCCACCAGCGGCUCUCCGUAACCCGAUUACUGAAAAUCAAACUGUUGCACAACCAGUACCUCAGUUUCUCCUGUCCGCACGUUUGCAAACAUUUACAUGGACACACAUGCAUAAAAUAACACGGCUGGGCCUCAUUCACGAAUCACGAGUUAAUCGUUCAUAUACAGUCUUAUGCAAAAAUCACAAUCAAUUCAAUGCAACAGACUGGAUUGAUGAACGAUCCACAUAGAAAUUCAUGCAUUCGACGUCCGAAAACGCUAAAUACAAUCAGAACGUUCAGCCGAACGACGGGCAGGUUUCACAGAACUUGGAGAUUUUUUAUUUAGAGUGUGUUUCGAUCUGUCUUCUGAUUAUGUUUCGUGACUUUAUGAUCUUUUUCACUCAAGGUUCCUAAUUUUACCUCAGCGGUGGAACGUCUCUUACCUCAGGAUCUGUAGUUUAGGUUUUCUCUGAAUGAGUUUUAUUUUUUUGUAGAAUUGGCUUGAAUUGGUGGGGAUCAGAAACGCUGUGAUUCUCCUCUAUGCGUCGCCCGUCUGGACCCGAGCGUGUGAUCGUUAAUCUAAUAUCUGAAUAUCUGCUGUUCUGCGGCGUGUUUGUUUGAUGAUUUCAGAGCCUGUCUGUCUUCAGGAGCAACCGUCAGAUACCUCAGAAACCAGCUGAAUGUCUCAGUAGUUGUUUAAACGAGCAAGCGGCCUUCUAAGAGAUCUGCAAAAACCAAUCAUUUCAUCUGGAUCUCAGGGCAGGUUUUAUAAAUGUGGGUGAAUCUCGUGAAAAUCUAAAGAAACAUAAUAUGCACAUUUUCA